AUGGCAACCUCCAUCGCGCAGUACGAGUGCCACCUCAGGCUCCAGCGCCACAAGAUCGUCAGGAUUGAUCUCGAGUACAAAAACGAGCCUAAAGCCACGCAGAAACCCGCCCUCGUCCAACUCUCUGUCGGCAAGACUCAGCCGGUGGUCCUCUUCCAACUGAGCGCCGCUGAAAGGUGCAUCGUCUUUGACAACUUCCUCACCGACCCCAGGUACACCUUUGGUGGCUUCUCCAUCAACGGCGACAAAACCAGGCUAGACCGCGUCAAUCUGGAGGUCGCCAACUUCGUCGACAUCCAGAAGGAGUGGAGGGUGCCUGAGGCCACCAAGGAGGUUGACUCCCUUGGAGACGUCUCCGACAUGCUCAUCGACAACUACUACAACAACAUGAAGAAGAAGAUCAUGGACGAAGAACACAUGCACUGGGCCGACCUACCUCUAUCCAUGAGGCACACUGAGUACGCCACAAAGGACGCCUAUGCAGCGUUCGAGAUAUGGAACCGCAUCACCCUCACCCAGGAUGGGCUUCACCACGCAAAGCUGGAGAAGGAGGAGCCCCCCAAGAAGCACGCCAGGAGCAGUUGGGGAGAAUAUGCCUGGUGA
This 603-nucleotide ribosomal RNA is filed under the name Triticum aestivum (bread wheat). Its description in RNAcentral is "partial small subunit ribosomal RNA". The record is from RNAcentral. Lineage: Eukaryota; Viridiplantae; Streptophyta; Magnoliopsida; Poales; Poaceae.